GCCUAGCUAGCUCAAUCGGCUUAGAGCGUGAGACCUUUAAUCUCAAGGUUGCGGGUUCGAGUCCCGCGUUGGGCU
This 75-nucleotide transfer RNA is filed under the name Candida albicans P76055. RNAcentral's name for it is "tRNA-Lys". It matches the Rfam family "tRNA". From Rfam's summary of the family: Transfer RNA (tRNA) molecules are approximately 80 nucleotides in length. Lineage: Eukaryota; Fungi; Ascomycota; Pichiomycetes; Serinales; Debaryomycetaceae. The record is from RNAcentral.